UACGUAGGGGGCUAGCGUUGUCCGGAAUCAUUGGGCGUAAAGCGCGCGUAGGCGGCCCGGUAAGUCCGCUGUAAAAGUCAAAGGCUCAACCUUUGAAUGUCAGUGGAUACUGCCGGGCUAGAGUCCGGAAGAGGCGAGUGGAACUCCUGGUGUAGCGGUGGAAUGCGCAGAUAUCAGGAAGAACACCCGUGGCGAAGGCGGCUCUCUGGGACGGUACUGACGCUGAGACGCGAAAGCGUGGGGAGCAAACAGG
RNAcentral lists this ribosomal RNA (253 nucleotides) under uncultured bacterium. RNAcentral describes it as "partial 16S ribosomal RNA". It matches the Rfam family "Bacterial small subunit ribosomal RNA", at positions 524 to 776 of the family's 1533-position model. The record is from RNAcentral.